GUAGCCAACACUGUUUAUAUAUAUAUAUAUAUAUAUAUAUAUAUAUAUAUAUAUAUAUUUUAAUUGGGGUAGCGCCCAAAAUAUUGGGACAUAUAAAAAAAGAUACCUCUGUUCCACAGAGUAGCUGUUGACAUUAUAGUUGCACAGGAACUUUGUUGAUUAUAGAGAACCUCGGGCAAAUCACACAUCCCCAUGGAGGCGACUUUGCAUGCGGAUGUCAUCAACUUUCGAUGCCAGUUUUUGCGCUUACCAUGGUGACCACGUGUAAUGGGGAAUCAGGGUUCCAUUCCUUACAGGGACCCUGAGAAACGGCUACCACAUUCAAGGAAGGCAAGAGGAGCGCAAAUGACCCACUCCCGACACGGGAAGGUAUGAC
Molecule: ribosomal RNA, 376 nt
Filed under: Pelobates cultripes (western spadefoot toad)
Lineage: Eukaryota; Metazoa; Chordata; Amphibia; Anura; Pelobatidae
Description: SSU_rRNA_microsporidia
Rfam family: Eukaryotic small subunit ribosomal RNA
Source: RNAcentral